Molecule: non-coding RNA, 182 nt
Filed under: Leptolyngbya sp. DLM2.Bin15
Lineage: Bacteria; Bacillati; Cyanobacteriota; Cyanophyceae; Leptolyngbyales; Leptolyngbyaceae
Also listed under: 3 other names
Description: 6S RNA
Rfam family: 6S / SsrS RNA
About the family: E. coli 6S RNA was the first non coding RNA to be sequenced, but its function was unknown until recently. It consists of 184 nucleotides that fold into an extended hairpin structure with a large single-stranded internal bulge.
Source: RNAcentral
GUUCUACUACGGCGUUGGUGACUGCCAAUAGUGUUUUAUGAUCUAUGCCUUUUGAAUAAGGGAGCUUAAUCACGUUCGAUGGCAGUAAACCGGGCAUGACCCGGAAACUUAAAAUCGGGCUUACGUUCCCACCUGGAUUUUCCAGGUCAAAAACUGAGGUAAGACGGCGUUGUGGGGGACUU